GAUGAACGCUGGCGGCGUGCCUAAUACAUGCAAGUAGAACGCUGAAGCUUGGUGCUUGCACCGAGCGGAUGAGUUGCGAACGGGUGAGUAACGCGUAGGUAACCUGCCUCUUAGCGGGGGAUAACUAUUGGAAACGAUAGCUAAUACCGCAUAAAAGUCGAUAUCGCAUGAUAUUGAUUUGAAAGGUGCAAAUGCAUCACUAAGAGAUGGACCUGCGUUGUAUUAGCUAGUUGGUGAGGUAACGGCUCACCAAGGCGACGAUACAUAGCCGACCUGAGAGGGUGAUCGGCCACACUGGGACUGAGACACGGCCCAGACUCCUACGGGAGGCAGCAGUAGGGAAUCCUCGGAAAUGGGGGCAACCCUGAACGAGCAACGCCGCGUGAGUGAAGAAGGUUUUAGGAUCGUAAAGCUCUGUUGUAAGAGAAGAACGAGUGUGAGAGUGGAAAGUUCACACUGUGACGGUAACUUACCAGAAAGGGACGGCUAACUACGUG
This 497-nucleotide ribosomal RNA is filed under the name uncultured bacterium. RNAcentral's name for it is "partial 16S ribosomal RNA". It matches the Rfam family "Bacterial small subunit ribosomal RNA", at positions 28 to 507 of the family's 1533-position model. The record is from RNAcentral.